This 29-nucleotide non-coding RNA is filed under the name Rattus norvegicus (Norway rat). Lineage: Eukaryota; Metazoa; Chordata; Mammalia; Rodentia; Muridae. The record is from RNAcentral.
UGCAAGGAUAGCUUGUUGACCUCAGGAAC